RNAcentral lists this ribosomal RNA (288 nucleotides) under Escherichia coli O174:H21 str. 03-3269. RNAcentral describes it as "partial 16S ribosomal RNA". It matches the Rfam family "Bacterial small subunit ribosomal RNA", at positions 1 to 283 of the family's 1533-position model. The record is from RNAcentral. Lineage: Bacteria; Pseudomonadati; Pseudomonadota; Gammaproteobacteria; Enterobacterales; Enterobacteriaceae.
UUAAAUUGAAGAGUUUGAUCAUGGCUCAGAUUGAACGCUGGCGGCAGGCCUAACACAUGCAAGUCGAACGGUAACAGGAAACAGCUUGCUGCUUCGCUGACGAGUGGCGGACGGGUGAGUAAUGUCUGGGAAACUGCCUGAUGGAGGGGGAUAACUACUGGAAACGGUAGCUAAUACCGCAUAACGUCGCAAGACCAAAGAGGGGGACCUUCGGGCCUCUUGCCAUCGGAUGUGCCCAGAUGGGAUUAGCUUGUUGGUGGGGUAACGGCUCACCAAGGCGACGAUCCC